UACGGGGGGGGCAAGCGUUGUUCGGAAUUACUGGGCGUAAAGGGCUCGUAGGCGGCCAACUAAGUCGGACGUGAAAUCCCUCGGCUUAACCGGGGAACUGCGUCUGAUACUGGAUGGCUUGAAUCCGGGAGAGGGAAGUGGAAUUCCCGGUGUAGUGGUGAAAUGCGUAGAUAUCGGGAGGAACACCAGUGGCGAAGGCGACUUCCUGGCCUGUUCUUGACGCUGAGGCGCGAAAGCUAGGGGAGCAAACGGG
This 253-nucleotide ribosomal RNA is filed under the name uncultured bacterium. Its description in RNAcentral is "partial 16S ribosomal RNA". It matches the Rfam family "Bacterial small subunit ribosomal RNA", at positions 524 to 776 of the family's 1533-position model. The record is from RNAcentral.